This 254-nucleotide ribosomal RNA is filed under the name uncultured bacterium. Its description in RNAcentral is "partial 16S ribosomal RNA". It matches the Rfam family "Bacterial small subunit ribosomal RNA", at positions 524 to 776 of the family's 1533-position model. The record is from RNAcentral.
UACAGAGGUCCCAAGCGUUGUUCGGAUUCAUUGGGCGUAAAGGGUGUGUAGGUGGCGCCGUAAGUCGGGUGUGAAAUUUCGGAGCUUAACUCCGAACCUGCAUUCGAUACUGCGGUGCUUGAGGACUGGAGAGGAGACUGGAAUUCAUGGUGUAGCAGUGAAAUGCGCAGAUAUCAGGAGGAACACCGGUGGCGAAGGCGGGUCUCUGGGCCGAUGACUGACGCUGAGGAGCGAAAGCGUGGGGAGCGAACAGG